GGGAGAGAGACAGUGGAAAGGAGAGGGGAGAGAGACAGUGGAAAGGAGAGGGGAGAGACAGUGGACAGGAGAGGGGAGAGAGACAGUGGACAGGAGAGGGGAGAGAGACAGUGGAAAGGAGAGGGGAGAGAGACAGUGGAAAGGAGAGGUGAGAGACAGUGGAAAGGAGAGGGGUGAGAGACAGUGGACAGGAGAGGAGAGAGAGACAGUGGAAAGGAGAGAGAGAGACAGUGGAAAGGAGAGAGAGAGACAGUGGAAAGGAGAGGGGAGACAGUGGAAAGGAGAGGGGAGAGAGACAGUGGACAGGAGAGGGGAGAGAGACAGUGGAUAGGAGAGGAGAGAGAGACAGUGGAAAGGAGAGAGGGAGACAAUGGACAGGAGAGGGGAGAGAGACAGUGGACAGGAGAGGGGAGAGAGACAGUGAACAGGAGAGGGGAGAGAGACAGUGGACAGGAGAGGAGAGAAAGACAGUGGACAGGAGAGGAGAGAAAGACAGUGGAAAGGAGAGAGGGAGACAGUGGAAAGGAGAGAGAGAGACAGUGGAAAGGAGCGGGGUGAGAGAGUGGACAGGAGAGGAGAGAGAGACAGUGGAAAGGAGAGAGAGAGACAGUGGAAAGGAGAGGAGAGACAGUGGAAAGGAGAGGGGAGAGACAGUGGACAGGAGAGGGGAGAGAGACAGUGGACAGGAAAGGGGAGAGAGACAGUGAACAGGAGAGGGGAGAGACACAGCGGAAAGGAGAGGGGAGAGAGACAGUGAACAGGAGAGGGGAGAGAGAUAGUGAACAGGAGAGGGGAGAGAGACAGCGGAAAGGAGAGGAGUGAGAAACAGUGGACAGGAGAGGGGAGAGAGACAGCGGAAAGGAGAGGAGAGAGAGACAGUAAACAGGAGAGGGGAGAGAGACAGUGAACAGGAGAGGGGAGAGAGACAGUGAACAGGAGAGGGGAGAGAGACAGCGGAAAGGAGAGGGGAGAGAGACAGUGAACUGGAGAGGGGAGAGAGACAGCGGAAAGGAGAGGAGUGAGAAACAGUGGACAGGAGAGGGGAGAGAGACAGCGGAAAGGAGAGGAGAGAGAGACAGUAAACAGGAGAGGGGAGAGAGACAGUGAACAGGAGAGGGGAGAGAGACAGUGGAAAG
Long non-coding RNA from Oncorhynchus tshawytscha (Chinook salmon), 1136 nucleotides. Lineage: Eukaryota; Metazoa; Chordata; Actinopteri; Salmoniformes; Salmonidae. The record is from Ensembl.